Molecule: unclassified non-coding RNA, 210 nt
Filed under: Hevea brasiliensis (rubber tree)
Lineage: Eukaryota; Viridiplantae; Streptophyta; Magnoliopsida; Malpighiales; Euphorbiaceae
Source: RNAcentral
UUUUUUUUCCCUUCGAUCUAUUUCGUUUAGCGUUGAACCUCCGCUCUGUGUGUUUCUCCUUCCCCUGCGCCGGGUACUUUUUUUUUUUUUUUUUUUUUUUCAGAAAACACUUCAAAGUUCAAAGCUCAAACCUUUCUUUCCUCUCCUUUUGGCCAGCACUCCAAGUCUUCAACCAGAAUUUACGGGCAAGUUUACUUCUGGAGCAAGAAG